GUCAACAACAGUCAUGAAAGUUAGCAUUAUUAUUACCACAUUAUAAUUGGUAUUAUUAUUAUUAUUACAUUAUUGUUACCCCAGAGUGACUUAUUUUACAGCGCGUGGACACUUGACUCCCCUUCCGGUACAACUAUUAGACAGCUGACCUACUUUGACUGCCCCCUGGCUUUAUAAAUAAGGCUCGGCGGAGGAGCACACAGCGGCGGCGGUGCGACGGUCGACGCGCAAGACAGAACUUCCCUCUUCGUUCUUCUUUUUUCUUUUUUUCUUUUCUUGACUUCUUAUUUCUUACCUGGGCAGGUAAAGUCGAAACAUCAUGGCGGGCAGUGUUCAGUUCGCCCCGGCCAUGCCGGACAUCCGUGCAAUGUUGUACCUGCUGUCGCCCAACGAGUCGUCCUUCGAGAAGGUAGAAGAAGUGCCCGAAUAUGUUCAUCAGGCCAAUCCUUUCUUCAUCGGGCUGAUCAUCCUGGAGAUGGGUGUCAACAUGUUGCUAUCAGAAUCUCCGCUGUACAACAUCUGUGAUGGAAUCAUCUCUGUAUCAUUAGGGAUGAUAUCCAGGCUACCACUCUUGCUGAUACGGGGCAUCGAGCUGUCGGCCUACAUGUACGUGUGGGACCACUAUCGCCUGCUGGAGCUACCCUGGGACUCUGCCUGGACCUGGCGCUUCACCUUCCUGGCUGUAGACUUCUGCUACUACUGGUUCCACCGCUUUGCUCACGAGGUGUCCGUCUUGUGGGCGGCCCACCAGGUUCACCACAGUUCGGAAUACUUCAACUUCAGCACGGCCCUACGGCAGCCUCUCACGCAGCAGCUAACAUCCUGGAUCUUCUACCUGCCCAUGGCUCUGGCUGUGCCUCCCUCAGUCUUUGCCGUCCACAUCCAAUUGAAUCUGCUCUUCCAGUUCUGGCUGCACACAGAGGUGGUCCAAGACUUGGGACCUUUGGAAUGGAUCUUCAACACUCCAAAGCAUCACAGAGUUCACCACGGGAGGAAUGAGUACUGCAUUGACAAGAACUACGGGGGCAUUCUGAUCAUAUGGGACCGAUUGUUCGGCACCUUUGCUGCAGAGGAGGACAAAGUGAUGUACGGCUUGGUCUUCCCUGUCAACACGUUUGAAAUAAUCACAAGUCAGUUCCAUUACUAUUUGUCUUUGUGGAGACGGGCCAGCACCUACACCAGCAUGAAAAACAAAGUGUUGACGUUUGUCAACGGUCCGAGCUGGCUGCCCGGUAAACCCAGGUUGGGCGACCACGAGCUAGUCCCGAAGGUGACUGGAGAGGAAGUGCUUCAUGAGCCCAGCUGCUCGCUGCCCUUACAAGUUUAUGUGGUGACACAUUUCCUGCUGGUCCUGCAUACUUACCACGAUCUGUUUGAAAACCAAGCGGUACUAACACAGGUUACCAUCCUGGGGAUGACUGCCUACAUCCUGCUGACGCUCACCUGCAUUGGUUUCAUCAUCGACCAAAGGUCGCUGGCAUCCUUCUUGGAGAUGCUGCGCUGUGCCGCCAUGGUGACGAUGCUGCGGUACAAUCACUUGAGGCUCCCCUAUUCUUCUCUGGCUAUGCCCACUGAGGCUCUGGAUGCGUUGCUCUGCAAUACAACGGUUGUUCGGCAUGAUGGGAUCUUCUUCUUUAAAAGGCCUUUGCCUCCCUCUCGCUGCUCUACUGGGCCAUGCAGAUCUUCUCUCAGCUGCUCUCCAUCAAGAGGAAGUCCGACUGAAUGUGGCCCUGCAGACCAGACCAGACCAGCUCACACUGUCCCACCGUGUAGUAACACAUCACACACUCACACACACAAACGGAUCGACUUUUUCCAUUUCAGUUUUUGUUUCCGUUUUUAAAGUCAACAACCAAAAAUAUGACUAACAUGACUUCUUGUGUGCCUUUACCAACAAAUUUUGCAGGUGAAAGUUUCUAAUGUAAGACAUCACCAUAUGUUGCUGUUUAUCUUGUAUUUAAAUGACACCCUACACGUUUCUGCGUACAGUGAAACCUCCGAACACAAUCUGUUCACUUUCUCUCCUCUAAACUUCAGAAUAAACUACUGUAGAGUGUCGGAAAAUAAUCUGUUCCAGUGUCAAGCCAUGGUCACUGUCAGACCGUUAAUACAGUACAGGCAAAGUGUAACUGCCAUGCAAGUAGUGAUGUUUCAAUCUGGGUUGUAUGCUGCCGAUUCCGAUACCGAUCAUCCAAGAGUAAGAUCGACCGAUACCAAUACCAAUCGUAUCUAUAAACUGUAGAUUUUUUUUUUUUUUUUAAAUAACGAGUCCUCCUGACAUCUGCUGCUGCACCCGCGACCCAACUUAGGAUAAGCAGAAGAAGAUGGAUGGAUCCUAUUGACAAAAUACUUGAAGAUAAUAUCUAAAUUAGUUACUUAGUUGAGUUUAUGAAGUACAAUUGUUUGAUAAAGAUAAAGUCAAUAGUACACAAGAACUAAACCAAAGAAAAGCUACUAUCUAGAGAUGUCCGAUAAUAUCGGACUGCCAAUAUUAUCGGCCGAUAAAUGUUUUAAAAUGUAAUAUCGGAAAUUAUCGGUAUCGGUUUCAAAAAGUAAAAUGUAUGACUUUUUAAAACACCGCUGUACGGAGGGAGAAGUACAGAGCAGUUGCGUCACCCAGUCAUACUAGCCAACCCUCCCGAUUUUCCCGGGAGACUCCCGAAUUUCAGUGCCCCUCCCGAAAAUCUCCCGGGGCAACCAUUCUCCCGAAUUUCCACCCACUCAGGACUAUUGGGGGCGUGCUUUAAGGGCACUGCAUUUGCGUGCCGGCCCAGUCACAUAUUAUCUACGCCUUUUCACACACACAAGUGAAUGCAAGUCAUACUUGAUCAACAGCCAUACAGGUCACACUGAGGGUGGACGUAUAAACAACUUUAACACUGUUACAAAUAUGCGCCACACUGUAAACCCACACCAAACAAGAAUGACAAACACAUUUCGGGAGAACAUCCGCACCGUAACACAACAUAAACACAACAGAACAAAUACCCAGAACCCCUUGCAGCACUAACUCUUCCGGGACGCUACAAUAUACACCUCAACCUCCUCAUGCUCUCUCAGAGCAUGUUCCAAAUUCCAAGCUGCUGUUUUGAGGCAUGUUAAAAAAAAAAAAGCACUUUGUGACUUCAAUAAUAAAUAUGGCAGUGCCAUGUUGGCAUUUUUUUCCAUAACUUGAGUUGAUUUAUUUUGGAAAACCUUGUUACAUUGUUUAAUGCAUCCAGCGGGGGCAUCACAACAAAACUAGGCAUAAUAAUGUGUUAAUUCCACGACUGUAUAUAUCAGUAUCGGUUGAUAUCGGAAUACGUAAUUAAGAGUUGGACAAUAUCAGAAUAUCGGACAUUGGCAAAAAAGCUAUUAUCGGACAUCUCUACUACUAUCUAUUACUCUUUUAAGUUGUUCUUCUUUUGCCCUCAAAGUCCCCCUUUGUCCAAGGAAGUAUUGCCGGAAUUUGUAACACAAAUAUAUUUUGGAGAAAAUAAAAAUAUUGAAUUACUCUAGUAUCGAUCAUAUAAUAAUGUGAUAAUAUCGAUCAUAUAACAUUAGGUACAAUGAAGCUAAGCACUGUCAUACAUCAGAUGUUUGCAGCUUCAAAUGUUUCUUUAAAGGUGUAAUUUUUUAAAUGAGUAUCCAUAGCCACGCUGAUGCUCCCUCAUUUGUGUCUAUAAUAAAAAGGACCUCUUACUCGCACGUCACCUGCCGUCCCUGCAUCUUGGCGUCACACAUGCGACACCGUGACAAGCAUGACCAAACACAGUGUGCAAAAUAGGAAUAUACAGUGCAUACAAUUCAACAAGUUCAAGUUGAACUCUUCUCUAUUGUUAAUUGAUACACAAUGAAGGCAAUGUUGGAUUAACAUGUUAGCUAUUUCAUCCUAGUCUACAUAUGAGUAUUUUCCUAAUGGAACAAAUUACAGUUACAAUAUGUUAUUGUGUAUAUGCAUAAACAUCCGAUAUAGUAUCAGAGUUUUGGUACGCAGCCCUCAUUUUUGCACGUUUUAGAUUUUAGUUUUGGAUUUGGUGACUUAAAAUAUUGCCUAUAUGGCCAUUGUUUGACCCUGGAACAGAUUAAAUUACUUACCAGUAUUCCCUAUGAAGGUAAAAAAAAAGCAUCUAGGUAGAAAUUGUGUUGACUUUAGAGCUUCAACUGUAACCUUCAACUGUACUUGAAUGCAAAUACUACUGUAUGCUUUAACUCGUAGUACGAUAAUGACUACUAACCUCAUACUAUUUGUUUGUGAUGUACUCUAUUUUAUUAUCAUAUCCAGUCCAGUGUUGUCACGGAAGGAGCAAAUAUUACGGUGAAUAAGCAGCAUAUGAAUGUGAAAGAGGAAGGCAGAGAGAAUCCAAUCACUUGAUCAAUCAUUCCACCCACGGAUGUCUUUCAUGCCAAGUCCUCCCACUGAGACCGAGGCAAAGGUGUUGUCCAGACGCCAUGUGGGAGGGAAAUAUUCCACAGCAGAUGGUGCUAUUUCCUCCCCCGUCGCCGUGCGCGUCAUGGUCCGUGUUAUGAGAAGCACAUGGAAUUAUUGAUGUGUCACCAGAUAUGACCAGAGAAUAAAACGCUACUUACUCCUGAUUGCUACGAAGGUCCUGAGUAGUCGUGAGUUCAAUCCUGGCCUCGGGAUCUUUCUGUGUGGAGUUUGCAUGUUCUCCCCGUGACUGCGUGGGUUCCCUCCGGGUACUCCGGCUUCCUCCCACCUCCAAAGACAUGCACCUGGGGAUAGGUUGAUUGGCAACACUAAAAAAAUUGGCCCUAGUGUGUGAAUGUGAGUAUGAAUGUUGUCUGUCUAUCUGUGUUGGCCCUGCGAUGAGGUGGCGACUUGUCCAGGGUGUACCCCGCCUUCCGCCCGGUUGUAGCUGAGAUAGGCUCCAGCGCCCCCCGCGACCCCAAAGGGAAUAAGCGGUAGAAAAUGGAUGCUAUGUCUAUUUAUGUCAUUAUUGUAUUCAUUUAUUAUCAAAGCAUGCGGGGUGUAUUUUGAUAUUUUCCAUAUUUUAAAAAUCAAUACAAUAUAUAUAAUUGUUUUUUUUUUUACCUUUUGACCUCCCCUCAAGUUUGGCCCUGUCAAAAAUAAUUCAUAUACAGUAUAUAUUUGUUUUUAUUCUACACUUUAAUCUCCAGAUAAACUUCAGGACUGUCGAUAUAAAGUUAUUUUUAUUUUCAUGUUU
Entelurus aequoreus (snake pipefish) is the source of this 5165-nucleotide RNA transcript. It is a transcript of the gene named alkylglycerol monooxygenase, with no coding region annotated. The record is from RefSeq and is a predicted model, not a curated record. The transcript is spliced from 15 exons. NCBI's taxonomy places the organism in Eukaryota, Metazoa, Chordata, Actinopteri, Syngnathiformes, Syngnathidae.